This 324-nucleotide unclassified non-coding RNA is filed under the name Hevea brasiliensis (rubber tree). The record is from RNAcentral. Lineage: Eukaryota; Viridiplantae; Streptophyta; Magnoliopsida; Malpighiales; Euphorbiaceae.
ACAGGUAAUUGAUGUACGGUAAAGAGGAAAAACCUUCUUCUCUAUUAUCCAGCAUUUGUCUUGUUAUUGCAAAUAUCAUCUUUCAUAAAUGAAGAAACAGUAUCUUGUAAAAAAUAAUACCAUUAUCAUCAGUGGGUAUGUUGCAAAAGAGUAUAAGAGUGCUUUUCGUACUUUACACCAUUCCAAUCGGUUGCCUUAAACAUUUUGUGGAAAUUUGAUGCUUUUAUUGUCUUAAAGUUUAACAUUUUCCAACUGUAGAGUUUUAGUGAUUCAGAGAAUUGUGCUCUACAGGGACAUUAAAGGAGCAAAUUUGCUUGUUGAUUC